GCCGGCGUGGUGUAAAGGUUAUCAUACUCGGCGCGUAUUCGAGAGGUCCAGGUUCGAGUCCCGGUGAGGGCA
This 72-nucleotide transfer RNA is filed under the name Stegodyphus mimosarum. It matches the Rfam family "tRNA". From Rfam's summary of the family: Transfer RNA (tRNA) molecules are approximately 80 nucleotides in length. The record is from Rfam by way of RNAcentral. Lineage: Eukaryota; Metazoa; Arthropoda; Arachnida; Araneae; Eresidae.